RNA transcript from Erpetoichthys calabaricus (reedfish), 13080 nucleotides. It is a transcript of the gene named bassoon presynaptic cytomatrix protein a, with no coding region annotated. NCBI's taxonomy places the organism in Eukaryota, Metazoa, Chordata, Cladistia, Polypteriformes, Polypteridae. The record is from RefSeq and is a predicted model, not a curated record. The transcript is spliced from 13 exons.
UGUAGGUGAUGAUGGCGGAAGAAGAGCUAUGUUGAGUUAUCCAUUCGUUAUUCUAUACAUAUAUAUGUAGUAAAUCUGUACAUUUUAUUACAUAUCUGUUACGUGUACGCCGACUAGGCCUCUUCUGCUCAUCUUCCGCACAGCCGAGAGCAUGGGGAACGAAGCCAGCCUGGAGGGAGGAGGGCAACCUGGGGAGCCCGGCUCCGCGGUGUCUGCGGCAGGACUUUCAGCACCAGCGGGCUCUGGACAGCUCCUGAAGCCGAGCAAUGGGGCGGCCGCCGGGGGAGGAGCGGCGGCCGGAGCCGGAUCUGGAGCUGGAGGCGGGAUUAGCAGCGUCUCAAGAAAACCAAGCCAGAUGGACCACACCACAAGCCCAAAGCCACCCUCCAAAUCUGAUUAUACGGACAGCAGAGUUGGAGGGCCAGGUCGGACUGAACUUCAUCGACCGGGUGCCCAAGAGAGCCCGAGAGAACAGCCUAGCCAAGGUCAUCAACAGGCACAGAAACCACGGCGGGCACUGCAAGUGGACAGCACCAGUAUGAGGUCCGGAAGGUCACCCUCUGCUUCCCCAGACCGUGGCAGCACCCCCACCUCUCCCUACUCUGUUCCCCAAAUUGCACCAUUACCCAGCAGCAAGCUGUGUCCGGUAUGCAACACAACUGACCUGACAGCCUCACAUAACCAGCCAAAUUUCAACACUUGUACGCAGUGCCGUUCCACAGUGUGCAACCAGUGCGGGUUCAACCCUAAUCCCCACCUCACAGAGAUCCAGGAGUGGCUGUGUCUCAACUGCCAGAUGCAGCGAGCCUUAGGGAUGGACAUGACCACACCUCCCCGCUCCAAGAGUCAGCAGCAGAUCCACUCACCAUCCCACCAUGCCAAACCAGAGCCCCAGCUGCAGUCCCACACCCUGCCUAAGCCGUCUCCCCAGCGCGCCCAGAAGCAGGAGGGUGCUCAACCAGCUCCUGGGACUCACAUGACAAAGCCCGAGCAUCCCACUCAACAAGUGCCACCAAGCCCAUCUCAAAGCAGGCAAGACCUCUCUGGCAGGAGGGAACCGUCAGUGGCAGCUAGCACCCAGGGCAUUCCCCGAUCGAGCUCUCAAGUGCAGCAACAGCCGAAAGCUACAGAACAAAGCAGAGGAGUUAACGGCUCUCCUGCACGAGCGCCCAGUGGAGCCCAGGAACCACCGCAAGAUGGGAUAACUGGAAAGCUGUUUGGUUUUGGGGCAUCCUUGCUAAAUCAAGCAAGCACUCUUAUUUCAGUAGACCCACAGCCCACCACACAGCCCCAGCAAUCCCCAGCCAAGGUAGCACCAAAGGUAGUGUUCACUGAUGCCAGCUCGGCCGCAGCACCCAAAACCCAGGUGCCUGCACCUGGCGCCACCCAGGGCAGACCUGGCAGCCAGCCACCCCAUACACAGCAGCAGCAACGGCAACCAGCCAAGAUGGAACCAGCAGCCAAGCCGAAGGAACCUGAGAAGCCUAAAGUGACAUGCCCUCUGUGCAAGACGGAGCUGAAUGUGGGCUCUGGACAGCCUGCCAACUACAACUCAUGUACGCAGUGUCACAGCCAGGUGUGCAACCUGUGUGGCUUCAACCCAACGCCUCAUCUGCUAGAGAAGAAAGAAUGGUUGUGUCUCAACUGUCAAACCCAACGACUGCUCUCAGGAAGCCUGGGAGAUGCCCCCCUACCAGUGCCUCAGCCUUCUCCGAAACAUCAAGCGAUGGGCUCACCACGACACCAACCGGCAACUCAAGUGCAGCAGGGGAAAGCAGCAGGUCACCCACAAGUGUCAGCAGUGUCCUCCACCCCGGCUCUUCCCUCUCAAACUCCAGCUGGCAAGCCUAGUGAACUACCUGAGAAAGAUCAGAAGCAGGUGAGGCCAAGCAAGGAUGCACAGAUUACAGCCAUCUCCAAAGAAACCAAACCGGCACCAAAGAAAGAGGUUCCAGAGAUGACAUCCACAACAAAGGAGGCCAAGAGGAUAGCAGAUGCUACAAAAGUACGACACCAGGAGGACGUUACCAAGUCAAGUACUCAGGACUUAUCCCGAAGCCCUCAGAGUCUCAGUGACACUGGCUACUCAUCUGAUGGCAUUUCCAGCUCACAGAGUGAAAUAACCGGGCUGAUUCAGGAGGAGGAGAUGAAACUAAAUGAAAGGGGUGUCAGUGAACACAGCCCCACCAGUCCCUCGGAACUCACCAAGCUGGAAAGCAGCAUGCGUCCUCUCCUUGAGUCAAAGUCAGCUUCACAUCAGGAUGCCACUGCACGAGGUAGGCAGCAGCAACAUCAGGAUCAGCGAGAAGAUCAGAAACAGAAACAGAGGCCCCAUUCACUGUCCAUUACGCCAGAAGCCUUUGAUUCAGAUGAAGAGCUUGAGGACAUUUUGGAGGAAGAUGAGGACUCCUUGGAGUGGGAGAACCAGCGAGAACAGAGGGACAGUCUGGUAGAGUCUUCGGAUGAUUUCAGCAGCAGGCUACGGCAUGACUAUGUGGAGGACAGCAGUGAGAGUGGCUUCUCACCGCUUCCUGGCCGACACAGGAAAACUGACUCCGAGAUGACCGAUGAAGAAUUCAUGAGAAGGCAGAUAAUGGAAAUGAGUGCUGAAGAAGAUAAUUUAGAGGAAGAUGAGGGCUAUGGGUAUCCAAAGCCAAAGAAGAGCCAUAAGCAUGGUACUGAAUCAGCAAAGGAGUCCAAGCGCCGCACCUCGCACAGUUCUGGCAGCUUUUAUGAAGAAGAUGGAAAAGGCCAUGUAGACAUUUAUGAGGGUAGCCAAGAAGUCGAUGCAGAUGACCUAAUGUCUUCCCAAGGAGGACUGCGGCGCUUCAAGACAAUUGAGCUGAACAACACUAACAGUUACACACGUGACAUAGAGCUUAAUCAUGAAAAUGACAUGAGUCUGGACCGGGAGCCAGAAUUAGAGAUGGAGAGUUUGACUGGUUCUCCUGAUGAGAGGUCUAGAGGGGAAUAUUCAUCAACUUUGCCAGCCACCACCCCUAGUUACACCUCUGGUACUUCCCCAACCUCAUUAUCCUCCAUGGAGGAAGACAGCGACAGCAGUCCUAGCCGCAGACAGAGACUGGAGGAAGUAAAGCAGCAGAGAAAGGCCCGGCAUCGUUCCCACGGUCCCCUUCUUCCCACCAUUGAGGAUUCUUCUGAAGAAGAGGAGUUGAGGGAAGAGGAAGAACUUCUGAGGGAGCAAGAAAAGAUGCGGGAGGUGGAGCAGCAAAGAAUCCGGAGCACAGUAAGGAAAACUAAAAGGGAUAAAGAAGAGUUGCGGGCUCAGAGGAGACGAGAGCGCUCCAAAACUCCCCCCAGCAACCUCUCCCCAAUAGAAGAUGCUUCACCAACAGAAGAACUGAGACAGGCAGCAGAAAUGGAGGAGUUGCACAGAUCAUCCUGCUCUGAAUAUUCUCCUUCCAUUGAUUCUGAAGCAGAGGGGUUUGAGAUGAUCACCUCCAAGCUGUACAAGUCUGGCAGUGAAUACAACUUACCCACCUUCAUGUCACUGUACUCUCCAACUGAAAAGCCCACAACUACCUCAGCUUCUUCCACCAGCAAGCCCCUGAAGAGUGCAGAGGAGGUCUAUGAAGAAAUGAUGAGGAAAGCAGAGCUGCUGCAAAAACAGCAGAAGCAACAGACACAGCAGCUUAAACAAGGUUCAACAUACGGCAGUGCCUAUCAACAAGAGGAGUUCAGGAGUCCCAGCCACCAGUAUCAAUAUGAAGAAGACUACAGCUAUGACAAACACGUCGCACCUUCUCAGCCUAGCUAUCAAAACAACCUUCCAAAAGCUGAGGAUAUCUAUGAAGAGAUCCUACAGACAUCCCAGAACAUAUCCAAAAUGCACCAGUCCUCAUCUCUUGAUUUGUGUCUACAGCAGGAAAGCACUGCCACAACUGUUGGCGGUUCUUUCCAAGACAAGCAGCUUCUGGACACAGGAUCUGCCUUUGCCAAGUUGCUAGAACAGAACAGUGCCCUCCUCACGCCAGGCACAAGCCCCACACAGCUUGCUGCACCCGUUUCAUUUUCACCAAGUGAAACUACAGGAAUGGGAAGCAGGGGAGUACCAGAUGUGCGAGUGACACAGCACUUUUCAAAGGAGUCCCUCAAGGAACGGGUGGCAAGCCAUGGCUCUAGAACAAGCACGACUCCUGUGACAACGGUAGCCACGUACAGCAUGUAUAGUAGGGAAUCAAAAUCCAGCCCUCAGACCACAACUUCAAGCAGUCAGUCAGUGGGCUACGGGCGGCAAACGUCUGCAGCAUCCAGCUCCACUUCAAGUAAGACCUCAGCAUAUAGUCAAAGUUAUGGUCAAAGGGAUAGCAGUAGCAGGAGAAUUCAAGAUAACAAGACUGUCCAAAGUAGAGAAGGACCUCAAAGUUCAGCUGAGACCAGCAGCAUCAGCCUCACAUCAAAAGUAUAUUCCUUCUUUAAAAGUUCUAGUCCCCCACUUUCUCCAUCAUCAUCACCUACUCAGAGCCCCACUCAUACCCCUUCACGAAUGCACACAGCAGAGUUUUCUUCCCAAACUUACAGCCCAAGUAUGUCAGUUCCUAGUUCCAGCAGCAGCUCUUCAUCUCCAGUCAUGGCCCAAGGGACACAGACUCCACACCGCUCCAGUUCACCACGACUGGCACGGCAGCAGUCUUCCCAGGAAGCACCCUUUAUGGUCAUCACUCUGGGAUCAGAUGUGACUAGCCCCAACAAACCUCUGACAGUAAACUCAUCCACUUCCCCCAUUUCGUCUCCAACUCGGCUGAGCCGUCAGCAAACUAUUCAUGGCUACACUCAGCCAACAGCAUCACCACCAGCACCACAGCCACUGCCCUCCUCACAACAGCCCCUAUACAAAACACAGUUGCAGAUGGAUCGAGCAUCUGCAGCUAGUAGCAUGACUCAUGUGACAACGGGGAAAGUUCAUGUUGGCACCAGCACUGUAACUACAGCCGGUACUUACAGUCGAGACUCUUUGUCUAUGGAAAACAUCUCCUUAUGCAGGAUCUCCACUGUUCCUGGGACUUCCAGAGUAGAGCAAGGCCCACGUCUGCCCAGCAGCAGUGUUGUGGAUUUACGCACUGCCAUUAAACCAGCUCCAGUUAUUAUGACAGACCAAGGCAUGGACCUAACUUCAGUGGCCACAGAAAGUCGUCGAUAUUCAUUGGGAUCUGAGGGUAGCCCCAGCCGACACUCUACUGCAGUCCAGCCACUCAUUAUGAACCUCAAUGCACAGGAACAGCCACACGUGGCUCUGUCUACUGCAGCUACUGUAAGCAUCACGGUGGCUGCCUCCAUGUUCAUGUCUCAACCAAAGCAGCCGGUGAUUUACGGUGAUCCAUUCCAGAAUCGAGUUGAUUUGGGACAUGGAUCAGGAUCAGCCAUUUGCCUGACUUCAAGCAAGUCAGCUGAGUCUAUUGCCCAGCAGUCUAUUCCAAUGAUAGAUGCUAAGCUAGAGGACCUUGGGAUCCAACAUCAGCAACUGCAGCAACAAAUACAACUCCAUCAGCAACAGCUUCAGCAACAACAAGCUGCUUUUGCUCGGUAUAAUCUGGCUAACCAAGUUCAUCCCUUGGCCAAGAAAGACCUUUUGGUCAGUCAGAGUAGCAGUGCCCAAACAAUAGUAAGUGUAAGCGCAAUUCCCAGAGUACCACCUGCUCCUAGCCACUCAGUGGCAGCUCCUAUUCCUCCUGCCCCUCCACUUGAUCUCUUCAGUAAUGCUGCCUUAGAAUUAAAAGGUCAGUCAGCUGCUGUUAACCUUUCAGGGGUAAAACCUCAUGCCAUGAUGGUGCAGCUGGACAGCACAUCUCAGGGAGCAACUGUCACACAGCUUGUCAAAUCAGAAGAGCCUCCAGAUGCCCUGGACCUUACUGGGAUUAAGGCUGAAAAUCAAGUGGCCUGUUGUGAUGUAGUUUACAAGUUCCCCUUCGGAGGAAGCUGCACUGGUGCCUUUACUCAGCACCCAAAGAUGGCAGAAAAAGGCCCUGGGCCAGUAGUUGACUCACAAGGCCCCCGGAUGCCACCCACUCCACAGUUUUAUGGAAGCAGAACUCAAGAACCCAGGCAAGACAGUUAUCAGUACAGGGAACAGUCAGUGAGCAACCAAGGCUUCGUCGAUGAUCGAAAGACUUUCCUUCCUCCAAUAUCUGGCCGUCUCCAUCCAUCCAUGUCUGACACCAAUCUUGCUGAAGUUGGGCUACAUUUUUACCCGACUAAAAAUGAUCCUACUUACCAGGGACCAAGUGGCGACCUUGCUGUUGAUCUGAGCACAAUGAAGCAUUCUUAUAGUGUGAGUUUUACAGAAGGUGGCUAUUUAGGUGUGGGAAUGCAGUAUGGCUCCUACACAGACCUACGACACCAAGGUGAUAUGAUGAACCAGCCUUUACCAAUGCGCAGAUACAACUCAAUGUCAAACAUCAACACCGACUAUGGCUACUCCUCCCACGACCUGGCCACUUUCCAAGAGUCGAACCUGGCCCAGUACAGUGCAACAACAGCCAGAGAGAUCAGCAGAAUGUGUGCUGCUCUCAAUUCAAUGGAUCAAUUUGGGGGCAGGUAUGCCAACAGUUCAGAUGUGAUGCAAUAUGGAGCGCCUGGUGGUGGAGGGCCUGGUGGCAGACUCAAUCUUCUGCCUGGCCAGCAAAACCUGUCCUCCAUGAAAGCCAACCUGAUGUAUGGCCAAGGCAUUCAAGAAGGAAGACAGCCAGCACAUGGCCAAGGCUACCUUGGCCAGUACAACAUUUUGGGUGCCAGACAGGGGUUAGUAAGGCCCAUGUACCCUUCAGCAGUGAGAGCAGCAGAUGGAAUGAUUUAUUCCACGAUUAACACACCGAUAGCUUCUACACUGCCAAUCACUACUCAGCCAGCCUCCAUCCUAAGACCUAUGCUGAGAGGUCUUUACAGACCCUUUCCUCCUGGAAAUGUCACAGCUAUUCCUUUGGCCAGCCUCUCAAGAUUACCUGUGGUUACACCACGAAUGCCUCUCUCCUCCCAGGGGCCCUACCGCUACCCACCACCCAGUCGUUUCAUACCACCUCCAGUUGUUUCCAGCACCACGGUCACUGCCACGGUUGCAGACACACCUGUGUAUCUGGGCAAGCCCUCUGUGAAUCUGGCCACCACUAUGUCAACAGCCCAGCCUACUGGUCACAUUGGGGCCUCCAGCUUGCCCAUGGGUGGGGCUUCUACAGCAGCGCCACCAGUGGUACAGCCAAUAUCAGUGCCUACCAGCCAGCAGCAGCCUCUUCCCCAAACUCAGAGUCAGAUCCCCCUCCACACUCAAGCACAGCCUCACCCUCUACCUCAGACACAGCCUCAGUCUGCUCCCCAGCUUCCACCCCCAAUUAUAAGUGACGUGACCACGAGCAGCACCAUCAGUAGCAGUACCUUAGGGAGUAAUGCCGAGAAAGAGAAAGAAGAGGAACGCUUACGUCGGCAGCAGGAGCAACUCCUGCAACUGGAAAGGGAGCGGGUGGAGCUGGAGAAGCUGCGGCAGCUUCGUCUUCAGGAGGAACUAGAGAGGGAACGGCUGGAGUUGCAACGGCAUCGUGAGAAGGAGCAGAUGCUGGUCCAACGCGAGAUCCAGGAGCUGCAGACCAUCAAACAGCAAGUGCUCCAGCAGCAACAGGUUGAGCGUGAGACUCAGCUUGCCCUGCAGAGAGAACAGCUGGCCCAGCAGAAGAUGCAACUAGACCAGAUACAAACACUGCAGCAACAAUUGCAGCAUCAGCUAGAAGAGCAGAAGAGGCAAAAGGUAGCUGUGGCUACCGCUGUGGCAGCAGGGCCAGCUGUGGUAGGACCUGGGACAACACAGGCAUUCCCUAUUGUCUGUGAUCAAACAGGUCGCCUGAUUCAGCAAGAUAUGUCCCAAGAGCUGCAGAGGACUAUGGGUCAGAAUGGGCAGUACUGGCAGCCCUAUGUGGAAGGGGCAGUCAUGCAAGGUGCAGUGCCACCACGACCUUUGCCCAGUUCUGUUUCUGAAAUGUCAUUGCGGAAUGAAGACCAGGUUGAAGCUCGAAGUAUCAAAAAACGGAAUUCUAUGCCACGUUUAAAGGAUGGUGUGGACUUUGAAGACUCUCAGCAUAAUGUCAAGAGAAUAGCGGACAGCUGUGUGCAGACAGACGAUGAGGAUGGUGAAGAGAGGUACAUCAUGUCCCGGAGGAGGCGUUCACGUCGCAGUGUUGACUGCAGCGUGCAGACUGAUGAUGAAGACAAUGGGGAGUGGGAACAGCCUGUACGAAGAAGAAGGUCCCGCUUUUCUAAGCACUCAGACUCAGAGACCAAAUCAGACUCUUCUAAGGGUACCUCAAGCAUUGCCAUUCAGACCAUUAGUGAUGGUUCAUGCCAAACUGAGCCUGAUCAACUUGGCCGAAUGUCACCUGCUAUCCGUAUCACUACCCAUGACCCCAAAGUAGAAAUUGUUCGCUACAUAUCUGCUCCUGAGAGGACCCAAAAAGGGGAAAGUCUGGCUUGCCAGACGGAACCAGAAUCUCAAUCUCAAGGUGUGGUGGUGCCUCAGUUGACUGUACCUACCACUAUUACCCCUUAUUCCACAAACAUUCAGCUUGUGACUUCAGGACCAUUAGAGACCCAUUCUUCACGUCUGUCCAAGUUUGAGAAGAAAAAGCCAGACCCCCUGGAUAUCAGCUACCAGUCUCACCAUCUGCACAAUGAGUCCCUCUCACAGCUAGUUCGCCAGCCACCCAAAUCUCCUCAGGUCCUUUAUUCUCCUGUGUCCCCGAUUUCCCCCCAUCGCCUCCUAGAGAGUUCAUUUUCAUCUAGUGAACGUCUCAACAAGGCUCAUGUGACACCACAAAAACACUUCACAGCUGACUCCCCCCAACGCCAGCAGACUCUUCCUCGGCCUAUCAGAACUAUGCAGAGAUCCAUGUCUGACCCCAAACCAGUCAGUCCGACGUCAGAGGAUCCCACCAAGGCCAAAUUCUCCCUGUAUCAACAGCAGGCUCUGCACAGCAGUCAGUUGUCUGCUUUGCAGCAGAGCAGUCUGAUCCGCAAAGUGAAGAGGACACUGCCCAGUCCACCUCCAGAAGAGUCCCACCUUCCCAUAAUCACCCCGACUCUGCCCCAAAUGUAUGUGCCUACUUUGCCACAAAAAGUGGGGCCAAGGCCGGCUCAAAUCACCAAGGCCAGCCUUCUGAAGGACAUCACUCAUGAGCUGAAGGUGGUGGAGCAGGAGUCCACCAAACUGCGCAAGCAGCAGGCAGAGCUGGAGGAAGAAGAAAAAGAGAUUGACGCUAAGCUGCGGUACCUAGAGUUGGGCAUCACUCAGAGGAAGGAGACCCUACUGAAGGAGAGGGAGCGGAGGGAACUGGCCUUCAACCGAUGCAUAGGAGACACACGGGACUACAUGUCUGACAGUGAGCUCAAUAACCUCCGCAUUGCUACUACCUACGAAGGAAAUGGACUACUGGCAAGGCCCAGUACUGCUCCCAUGAGCCAGUUCUCGGAAUUUACCACUACCCAGUACCCUUCCACCUCUUCCUAUGCAACCUAUCAGUAUCAGACAGCUGCUCAGGGGACGGCCACCUACCAGCAAACAGGGUUCCAGCCACCCCAGUACCCCACUGUCACCAACACCCCACUCCAGCAAACCACUUUUCAGGCCCCUCAGCCUGCCCCAGUUUACCACCCUCAGAACACUUUCCAGCAACACAACUUUACCCCAAGUCAGCCCUACCAGUCUGAUCUGGGAGCGCAGAGCCAUCCAGGCUUUCAGCCUCCAGUUCCCUACCAAACGCAAACGUCCUUCCCUACCCAACCACCCUUCCAGCCUGGCCAAAGUAUACCUUUCCAACCGCAGGCUGACAUCCACAGCGUUCAUCAGAAACCCCGUCAGACAUCAUUGGCAGACCUAGAGCAGAAGAUUCCUACAAAUUAUGAAGUCAUCAGCACCCCUGCUGUUGUGAUCACCUCCACUGCCCCUGAAGUGACCUACUCAUCCACUACGGUGGCCAACAGUUAUGGACAGUACAAGCCCCCCGAGACCAGUCUAGCUGAACGGGUCAAUGCUGUAGAAAGUCCUUCCUCCGCUUAUUCUUCAGAAUCGCUCUACACCAAUUUGGAACAGAACAUUCCCCGCAAUUAUGUUAUGAUUGAAGACAUAAGUGAGUUAACCAAAGAGAGUUCAGGAACAACAUCUGACCUGCAAAAGCCAGAGUCUCAGAUGCCUCCAGCUAAUGGGCGAUAUGGGAAGGAUCGUUCUGAAGUGAGUGAGAAUGUUAACACCACGAGGGGGAGCUCCUACUCAAAAGUUGAAGAAGAGUCUGAGGAAGACAUGUAUGACCACCAUGGCAGGGUUAAGAGUAGCAGUAGCAACUACCACCAGCGUGGUGUUGACAGUCAUGGAAGAAUGAGCAGCAGUAGUGCUAGUGGAAGUGGGGGAUCCUCCUACUAUUACGAUGACUACAAGCAUUCCUCAUCUCGGUUAGACAAGCACGGAUCCAGCAUGGGUGUCCAGAAGCAUUCAUCUAAAAACUUGGCCCCAGCUGUAGUAUCCGCCAAACGCAGCAAGCACAGGAAGCAAAGCAUGGAACAAAAGAUCUCCAAGUUUUCCCCAAUUGAAGAAGCCAAGGAUGUGGAAUCUGAUUUGGCUAGCUACUCCAUCACAACAUCCUCAGAGGGCAAUUGCAAUGUGAUGACCAGGGCAAAGAAGCUUCAAGAUGAAAUCACCUAUGGCCUGAAGAAGAAUGUUUAUGACCAGCAAAAGUAUUAUGGCGUGUCCAGUCGAGAUGCCUUAGAAGAAGAUGACCGGUUGUACAGCAGUGGCAGGUCGAGGUCAACAGGCUACGGAAUAGACAAGAUCUCAUCUCGGGACUCUGGCAACCACAGAAGCAAGUCCUAUGACCGGGACACCAUGGACCGAUCCCAAAGGGGCAGCCACAGCCGGGGCCGGCCCACACUGCGCUCCCAGAACUCUGAGGAAGAGAGCCCGCUCAGCCCCAUGGGGAAGCCGAUGGGUGUUGGGCGAGGUUCUGGUACCUCAGAGCCGUCUAACAGCCACAGUCAGUUCGGCUCCAGCCACUCCCUGCCUGAUGUGCAGGACCACAUGAAGGACUUGCCCCGAAGCCAUGUCUACAAGCCCGAUGAUGCUUACAUUCUGGACGAUAUGCACUGUGCUGUGUCAGACAGUGAAGCCUAUCAUUUGGGGCAGGAGGAGACAGACUGGUUUGAGAAGCCUAGAGAGCCACGCUCAGAGAGGUCCCGGCACUACAGUGGUGGUGGAAGCGGCUCACACUCUUCCUCGCAGAAGCGCGGCUAUGUCAAGCACACAUACCAUGACUACGAUGAGCCUCCAGAUGAAGACCUCUGGCAGCAGGAAGACUAUAACCAGCCUCGGCACUCAUCCUCAUCUUCAUCCCGUGAGCACAGGCACCAUGGAAGUAACACUGGCAGGCAUUCUUCAUCAUCCCGCCAUUCAUCAGAAGAGCCUCGCUCAUCACGAUCAUCUAAGCAGCAUGUGAAGGAUCCUUCCUUGCGCCAUGACUCUCGGCAGCAGCCCACCUCAUCCUCUUCAUCCUCAACGAAGAGGAGUCAGCCCCCCGAGUCCCGGUCCUCUCAGGGCUAUCACUCCUCUGAUUACUCCCAUCAGCCUUCUAGCCACCACCACCAUGGCUCUUCAGAGGGCCAGAGGAUGUCAAGGCAACAGCAGCCACCCUCAAGCCAUCAGCAGCACCAACAAUCACAUCAGCAGCCAUUGCAGUCAUCCAGGAAGCAGGACAUGCAGUCGUCUCAGCAGCAGUCAUCUUCACGGCAAACAUCAGCCUCUCAGCAGCAACAGUCCACAAGGCAGCAGCAGCAAGGGCAACAGCAGCAACCUGGCCGGCAGCAGCAACCGCAAGGACAGCAGCAACAGCAGCAGCAAGGGCAGCAGCAGCGCACUCAACAGCAGCCACCACAGGCAUCCACGACAAGGCAGCCACAGAUUCAGCCGACAACAGCAGGACCGCAGCAACAGCAACAGCAGCAGCAACAACAACCAGUUCAAGCACAGCAACAGCCGCAGCAGCAGCAGCAGGCUAAAGUGGGUCAGGCUCCGACCCGGCAGCCCCAAACAAGUGUCCAGCAGCCUGCAGCGGCAAAAACUGACACGAUGGAUGCCUCCAAAGUGGGUGCCAAAGCAGUGACACAGCCAGCCAAGACCCCUCUGCCACAAACUCCAGCGACUGGAAUAGGCUCUAAAGCAGCACCAAGACCUGGAGGCCCAGCUGGUGCAGGACAGCCUGCUGGAGAAGGAGAAAGCAUGUUCUCGAAAAUUCUACCAGGGGGUGCCGCUGAGCAGGCCGGAAAGCUUGGGGAAGCUGUGUCUGCUUUUGGAAAGAAAUUUACUUCAUUUUGGUGAGCUGCUGAAUAGAGGAAUGUUCUGGAGUGGUUAAGAAGAAGGAACUGGCCCCUGUACUGGAAAAACCUAUGAACACAUGGCUCCUGAUUUUCAUAUUAGAGGGUGAAGUGUGGGACUCAGGGGGUCACACCAUUUGGCGGGUUGGAAUCACUGAUGUCCAGGCACCACUGAAGAUUCCAAACAUACAUAUCGCCAUUUUCCUUGGACAGGAGAGGCUGCACACAGAUGCCCUCAGGGAGCAAUCAGAGCUACAAUGGAAAGAUGCCAAGCACUUCAGCCUUACCCAGACCCAAAGCAUCAGGGCUAUCAGCUACUAGGUGUACAGACAGACAGGUGGCCCAUUCCAGAAGAGACAGUGUAGAGGACACCAGAGCCACUGAGUCAUCAACCAGCCCGGGAUGAGGCCUGUGUUUGUGCAAUACAGGCAUGCAGCUGAGCAUCUCCUGUAUUCUGAGGAAGAUUUUUUUCAUUUUUAUUUGUUUGUGCAUUUGCUCAAAUAGAUAUAUAUUCUGCAUUGGGAAUAUUUCAAGCACUUUUGGAAUUCAGAGUGUCUGGAGCUUCUUUGAUUGCUGUCUGCCAAACAGAUGCUGGCCAUGUCCUGGGGGCUAUAAUCCCCUCUUAUUAUCCGAGGAGGAAAGCAAAGCAAAAAGAACUCUUCAUAGGUUUUUCUUGUACAUAAAGACCUUUUCUAAUUAAAAUUGGGGCAAUGAAAAACAAAGAAA